ACUUAAAUUGAAGAGUUUGAUCAUGGCUCAGAUUGAACGCUGGCGGCAGGCCUAACACAUGCAAGUCGAGCGGUAGCACAGAGAGCUUGCUCUCGGGUGACGAGCGGCGGACGGGUGAGUAAUGUCUGGGAAACUGCCUGAUGGAGGGGGAUAACUACUGGAAACGGUAGCUAAUACCGCAUAACGUCGCAAGACCAAAGUGGGGGACCUUCGGGCCUCAUGCCAUCAGAUGUGCCCAGAUGGGAUUAGCUGGUAGGUGGGGUAACGGCUCACCUAGGCGACGAUCCCUAGCUGGUCUGAGAGGAUGACCAGCCACACUGGAACUGAGACACGGUCCAGACUCCUACGGGAGGCAGCAGUGGGGAAUAUUGCACAAUGGGCGCAAGCCUGAUGCAGCCAUGCCGCGUGUGUGAAGAAGGCCUUCGGGUUGUAAAGCACUUUCAGCGGGGAGGAAGGCGGUGAGGUUAAUAACCUCACCGAUUGACGUUACCCGCAGAAGAAGCACCGGCUAACUCCGUGCCAGCAGCCGCGGUAAUACGGAGGGUGCAAGCGUUAAUCGGAAUUACUGGGCGUAAAGCGCACGCAGGCGGUCUGUCAAGUCGGAUGUGAAAUCCCCGGGCUCAACCUGGGAACUGCAUUCGAAACUGGCAGGCUAGAGUCUUGUAGAGGGGGGUAGAAUUCCAGGUGUAGCGGUGAAAUGCGUAGAGAUCUGGAGGAAUACCGGUGGCGAAGGCGGCCCCCUGGACAAAGACUGACGCUCAGGUGCGAAAGCGUGGGGAGCAAACAGGAUUAGAUACCCUGGUAGUCCACGCUGUAAACGAUGUCGAUUUGGAGGUUGUGCCCUUGAGGCGUGGCUUCCGGAGCUAACGCGUUAAAUCGACCGCCUGGGGAGUACGGCCGCAAGGUUAAAACUCAAAUGAAUUGACGGGGGCCCGCACAAGCGGUGGAGCAUGUGGUUUAAUUCGAUGCAACGCGAAGAACCUUACCUGGUCUUGACAUCCACAGAACUUUCCAGAGAUGGAUUGGUGCCUUCGGGAACUGUGAGACAGGUGCUGCAUGGCUGUCGUCAGCUCGUGUUGUGAAAUGUUGGGUUAAGUCCCGCAACGAGCGCAACCCUUAUCCUUUGUUGCCAGCGGUCCGGCCGGGAACUCAAAGGAGACUGCCAGUGAUAAACUGGAGGAAGGUGGGGAUGACGUCAAGUCAUCAUGGCCCUUACGACCAGGGCUACACACGUGCUACAAUGGCAUAUACAAAGAGAAGCGACCUCGCGAGAGCAAGCGGACCUCAUAAAGUAUGUCGUAGUCCGGAUUGGAGUCUGCAACUCGACUCCAUGAAGUCGGAAUCGCUAGUAAUCGUAGAUCAGAAUGCUACGGUGAAUACGUUCCCGGGCCUUGUACACACCGCCCGUCACACCAUGGGAGUGGGUUGCAAAAGAAGUAGGUAGCUUAACCUUCGGGAGGGCGCUUACCACUUUGUGAUUCAUGACUGGGGUGAAGUCGUAACAAGGUAACCGUAGGGGAACCUGCGGUUGGAUCACCUCCUUACCUUAAAGAA
RNAcentral lists this ribosomal RNA (1554 nucleotides) under Klebsiella variicola. Its description in RNAcentral is "bacterial SSU rRNA". It matches the Rfam family "Bacterial small subunit ribosomal RNA". Lineage: Bacteria; Pseudomonadati; Pseudomonadota; Gammaproteobacteria; Enterobacterales; Enterobacteriaceae. The record is from RNAcentral.